GGGAGUACGGUCNCCAAGAUUUCAAAACUCANANGGAAUNGAACGGGGNCCCAGCACAACNCGGUNGAGCAUGUGGUUUAAUUGGAAGCNACGCCGCAGAACCUUACCAGCUCUUGACAUGUCCCGUAUGGGUUCCGGAGACGGGAUCCNUCAGUUCGGCUGGGCGGGAACACAAGGNGNCNGCAUGGCUGUCGUCAGCUCNUGUCCGUGAGAUGNUNGGUUAAGUCCCGCAACGAGCGCAACCCUCGCCCCUAGUUGCCAUCAUUCAGUUGGGCACUCUAGGGGGACUGCCCGGUGAUAAGCCGCGAGGAAGGUGGGGAUGACGUCAAGUCCUCAUGGCCCUUACGGGCUGGGCUACACACGUGCUACAAUGGUGGUGACAGUGGGAUGCGAAGGGGCGACCCCGAGCAAAUCUCCAAAAGCCAUCUCAGUUCGGAUUGCACUCUGCAACUCGAGUGCAUGAAGGUGGAAUCGCUAGUAAUCGUAGAUCAGCACGCUACGGUGAAUACGUUCCCGGGCCUUGUACACACCGCCCGUCACACCAUGGGAGUUGGCUUUACCCGAAGGCGUUUCGCUAACCGNCAAGGAGGCAGACGACCACGGUAGGGUCAGCGANCUGGAGGUGAAGUCGUAANCAAGGUACC
Molecule: ribosomal RNA, 644 nt
Filed under: uncultured bacterium
Lineage: Bacteria
Description: partial 16S ribosomal RNA
Rfam family: Bacterial small subunit ribosomal RNA
Source: RNAcentral